This 71-nucleotide transfer RNA is filed under the name Camelus bactrianus (Bactrian camel). It matches the Rfam family "tRNA". From Rfam's summary of the family: Transfer RNA (tRNA) molecules are approximately 80 nucleotides in length. Their secondary structure includes four short double-helical elements and three loops (D, anti-codon, and T loops). Further hydrogen bonds mediate the characteristic L-shaped molecular structure. tRNAs have two regions of fundamental functional importance: the anti-codon, which is responsible for specific mRNA codon recognition, and the 3' end, to which the tRNAs corresponding amino acid is attached (by aminoacyl-tRNA synthetases). tRNAs cope with the degeneracy of the genetic code in two manners: having more than one tRNA (with a specific anti-codon) for a particular amino acid; and 'wobble' base-pairing, i.e. permitting non-standard base-pairing at the 3rd anti-codon position. The record is from Rfam by way of RNAcentral. RNAcentral also lists the same sequence under 2 other names. Lineage: Eukaryota; Metazoa; Chordata; Mammalia; Artiodactyla; Camelidae.
GAGGGUAUAGCUCAGUGGUAGAGUGUGUGCUUAGCAUGCAUGAGAUCCAGGUUCAAUCCCCAGUGCCUCCA